CAGUCGAACGGAGCUUAGAGAGCUUGCUUUUUAAGCUUAGUGGCGAACGGGCGAUUAACGCGUGAGUAACCUGCCCUAGAGUGGGGGACAACAGUUGGAAACGACUGCUAAUACCGCAUAAGCCCACGGUACCGCAUGGCACUGAGGGAAAAGGAUUUAUUCGCUUUAGAAUGGACUCGCGUCCAAUUAGCUAGUUGGUGAGGUAACGGCCCACCAAGGCGACGAUUGGUAGCCGGACUGAGAGGUUGAACGGCCACAUUGGGACUGAGACACGGCCCAGACUCCUACGGGAGGCAGCAGUGGGGGAUAUUGCACAAUGGGGGAAACCCUGAUGCAGCGACGCCGCGUGGAGGAAGAAGGUUUUCGGAUUGUAAACUCCUGUCGUUAGGGACGAUAAUGACGGUACCUAACAAGAAAGCACCGGCUAACUACGUGCCAGCAGCCGCGGUAAAACGUAGGGUGCAAGCGUUGUCCGGAAUUACUGGGUGUAAAGGGAGCGCAGGCGGGAAGACAAGUUGGAAGUGAAAACCAUGGGCUCAACCCAUGAAUUGCUUUCAAAACUGUUUUUCUUGAGUAGUGCAGAGGUAGAUGGAAUUCCCGGUGUAGCGGUGGAAUGCGUAGAUAUCGGGAGGAACACCAGUGGCGAAGGCGGUCUACUGGGCACCAACUGACGCUG
Molecule: ribosomal RNA, 676 nt
Filed under: uncultured bacterium
Lineage: Bacteria
Description: bacterial SSU rRNA
Rfam family: Bacterial small subunit ribosomal RNA
Source: RNAcentral